UACGUAGGGUGCAAGCGUUGUCCGGAAUUAUUGGGCGUAAAGAGCUCGUAGGUGGUUUGUUGCGUCGGCUGUGAAAUCCCGAGGCUCAACCUCGGGUCUGCAGUCGAUACGAGCAAACUAGAGUGUUGCAGGGGAGACUGGAAUUCCUGGUGUAGCGGUGAAAUGCGUAGAUAUCGGAAGGAACAUCAGUGGCGAAAGCGGCUUUCUGGACCAGUACCGACGUUCAGGCACGAAAGCGUGGGGAGCAAACAGG
This 253-nucleotide ribosomal RNA is filed under the name uncultured bacterium. RNAcentral's name for it is "partial 16S ribosomal RNA". It matches the Rfam family "Bacterial small subunit ribosomal RNA", at positions 524 to 776 of the family's 1533-position model. The record is from RNAcentral.